This 2898-nucleotide unclassified non-coding RNA is filed under the name Lucilia cuprina (Australian sheep blowfly). RNAcentral's name for it is "uBX domain-containing protein 6, transcript variant X1". Lineage: Eukaryota; Metazoa; Arthropoda; Insecta; Diptera; Calliphoridae. The record is from RNAcentral.
AUGUCUAAAAUAAAGAAAUUCUUUUCGAAGAAGAAGGAAGAAGCUGCUUUUAAACUGAAACUGGGUGGCGGUUUAGGACAAGGGCACACACUAAGUUCACAAAAUACCGAGGCUUCUACCUCAAAUCGCAAACCUAUUGCCGAUGCUUAUGUUCCACCUAAACGCAAAGAAUUAAGCAAUGAAGUAAGAGCAGCAGCAGCAGCAGCUCUGGCCAGAGUAGAAAACAAGGGAUCAAAGGAAUUUAAUACGUCGUUGGCAGCUAUUAAAGCUCAAGCUAAAAGAGAACUUGAAGCUGAACGAAAACUUAAGGAAGAAGUUGUGACACCCGAGCCUAACAAUGAAAAUAACCCUAAUAUAAAUUUGGCUUGCCAAGGAGUUUUCUUUCGCUGUCCUAUCAUAAGUGAUGAAAUUUUGUCGAAGAAAGAAUGGAAAGUUAAAAUUAAGGAUUUUUUAUAUCAGCAACUUGAUGCUGAAAAAGCGUUAACAUCAUGUUUGAUAAUCUACAAUUGCAAUAGCAAGGAAAAGGCAGAAGACUGCAUUUUAACUUUAACAAAAUACUUGGAGAAUAUAGUAAAGUUCCCAAAAGAAGAGAAAUACUACAAAAUCAGGAUGUCAAAUCGCAUAUUUUGUGAAAAAGUUCGCUAUGUUGAAGGCGCUUUAGACUUUCUUCAGGCUGCAGGAUUUCGUGAAGUGGAUUUGGAUGACGAGAAGUUUCUAAUAUGGUCGAAGGAUAAUGUAGAACAGGACUACGAAUUACCAACACUUAUAGAAGCUUUACAAAAUUCUGAACCAAUUCAACUCGUAUUAGAUCGUAACAUAAAAGUGUUGUUGCCUUCUCAGGCUAAACGCGUCGUUUUACCUGAUGAUUUCUACCGUAUUUCACCUGAAGAAAUUAAACGAGAACAACAGCUGAGAGCCGAAGCAAUUGAAAGCGCUCAAAUUCUUAAAACAAAAGCUAUGAGAGAACGCGAAGAACAGCGAGCCUUAAGAAUGUACAAAUAUGCUUUAGUGAGAGUAAAAUUUCCCAAUGGGCUGUUUAUACAAGGAACUUUCAGUGUUUAUGAAAAAAUAUGUGAUAUUUUUGAAUUCGUCCAAUCGUGUCUUCAAGAUGAAUCAAUGGAAUUUAAUUUGGUUGCCUCGAGUGAAGGAAAAUUUACGGAGGAGGAUAUGGAUAAAACUUUAUAUGACUUAAGACUUGUUCCAAAUAUUUUAUUGCUUUUCAACGUAUCUAAUGAGACAACCUCGGGCCAGGAUACAAACUUUUUAAAAGAAGAAUUAUUGCUUUUGGUUCAAUCUAUUUAGGACUAAAAUGACUUAAGAGCAUCUAAAUUUUUGCAUAUAUAUGUACAUGUUUGUACAUUAGAGGUGUUCAAUAUCGAUUUUAAUUAAUAUCUAAAAGUUACUACUGUAAAAUUAAGAAAAUUGUCUUUUCAACAUAAUUCACUGUUCUAACGAUACUACAACGGAAUCUGUUCCUUUAAAAUUAGGGAACUUGUUCCCAAAACCCGUAUAUACUUGCGUAACACACGUCUUUCUUCAAGAACACACUCAUUUGUGGUAGAUUGGUUAGUGGACCGCACAACACACUACAGGGACUGUUCGUAUGUGGAAUAAUCAUCCUGCAGAGGUAUUCCCUGCCACUUUCGAUAUAAAAUGUCCACAAACACUACUCCCUCUAUCCUCCUUCUCAUAACCUAUUUUCCUAGUUCCAACACAAGGCUUCGCAUAAAAAAGGGUCAUCCCCUUAGUGGUCCAAUAAAAAAAACAAGCUAAAAACAUUAACCUUGGAGUACUAAUCACAAUGUAAGUGAUAAUUUCAUACACCAUUAUUUUUUCAUUUACAAGUUAUGUAAACAAAAUAUUAUACACAUAAAUUUUAAUGAAAUAUCCAUUAAUUGUUAGUUUUUACUAAAUAUCUAAUUUUCUCUAGAAGGUAAUAUUUAAUAUAAAUAUAAAAAAAUAUAAUUUGAAUGGUGUUAUUUUUAAGAACUUAAACAAGUUCUAUUAUUUGCAGAAUUUAACCAUUUCAAUCGAUUUCCGCUACGGUUUUCCAUUAUGGGAAUUUAACUACAAUUUUACACAAGUCAGUUUUUGGAAAUAAUGAACAAAAUAAGAACCCUACUUUAAAAUUGAUGUAGAUACUUUAAUAAUUUUAUUUUAUUUACAAAAUAAACCUACCCUAUUGGGCUAUACUUAAAAUUUAUUUUAGAACACCUCUACCAAAAUACAACAAUCGUUUGAAUCCUCCAAUCCAAAACAAAAUAAAGGCAUUUUUCAUCGACGAAAGUAACACGCAUAGAUAUACAAUAACCACUACUGUGCAGUGCAUUGUGCUGGAACUAGAAAAUAGAGAUAUAACUAUUGACAUUUUUUGCAAAUAUGAGAAUUGGCAUAUCAUCAUCAAAUAGAGCAUAAAAAAUAUGAAAAAACCGCGGUAUUACUUUUCGCGGUUGCUAAAAAAUUCCACGUAUUUCCAUUAGUAUCUCAAUUAUUUUUAAAAAAUCAUGUUAUUGUUUCGCUAAGUUGUGUUUGUAAUUAAUAAUAACUGCGGGCAUACUUUAAAAGAUAAUUUGGAAUAAGGGAAGUAUACCUCACACUUGCAAAAAAUGUUGCAUUUUUUUAUAAUAACUGAUUCAUCAUCACUCAGCCCUAACCGUUAAAGCUAGAAACAUGAAUUUUUGGUACUAGGUUUCACUGACGUUGUAUUGACCCAUUAGGAAGGGUCAAUUAUAUUCCUUACUUAUACAACAUUGGCCAUCAUGUAGCGGUAUGCCAAAAAUUUCCCCAAAAUUUAUUAUGUCCCUAAUAAACAUAUGUACAACAGUAAACAUUUAUCUCUAAAACAUGAGAAAUAUGGACUUUCAAAGUAAAUUAAUAAUGUAGCGACAUCUCUUGUUG